GAUGAACGCUAGCUACAGGCUUAACACAUGCAAGUCGAGGGGCAGCAUGGUCUUAGCUUGCUAAGGCCGAUGGCGACCGGCGCACGGGUGAGUAACACGUAUCCAACCUGCCGUCUACUCUUGGACAGCCUUCUGAAAGGAAGAUUAAUACAAGAUGGCAUCAUGAGUCCGCAUGUUCACAUGAUUAAAGGUAUUCCGGUAGACGAUGGGGAUGCGUUCCAUUAGAUAGUAGGCGGGGUAACGGCCCACCUAGUCUUCGAUGGGUAGGGGUUCUGAGAGGAAGGUCCCCCACAUUGGAACUGAGACACGGUCCAAACUCCUACGGGAGGCAGCAGUGAGGAAUAUUGGUCAAUGGGCGAGAGCCUGAACCAGCCAAGUAGCGUGAAGGAUGACUGCCCUAUGGGUUGUAAACUUCUUUUAUAAAGGAAUAAAGUCGGGUAUGGAUACCCGUUUGCAUGUACUUUAUGAAUAAGGAUCGGCUAACUCCGUGCCAGCAGCCGCGGUAAUACGGAGGAUCCGAGCGUUAUCCGGAUUUAUUGGGUUUAAAGGGAGCGUAGAUGGAUGUUUAAGUCAGUUGUGAAAGUUUGCGGCUCAACCGUAAAAUUGCAGUUGAUACUGGAUAUCUUGAGUGCAGUUGAGGCAGGCGGAAUUCGUGGUGUAGCGGUGAAAUGCUUAGAUAUCACGAAGAACUCCGAUUGCGAAGGCAGCCUGCUAAGCUGCAACUGACAUUGAGGCUCGAAAGUGUGGGUAUCAAACAGGAUUAGAUACCCUGGUAGUCCACACGGUAAACGAUGAAUACUCGCUGUUUGCGAUAUACUGCAAGCGGCCAAGCGAAAGCGUUAAGUAUUCCACCUGGGGAGUACGCCGGCAACGGUGAAACUCAAAGGAAUUGACGGGGGCCCGCACAAGCGGAGGAACAUGUGGUUUAAUUCGAUGAUACGCGAGGAACCUUACCCGGGCUUAAAUUGCAGAUGAAUUACGGUGAAAGCCGUAAGCCGCAAGGCAUCUGUGAAGGUGCUGCAUGGUUGUCGUCAGCUCGUGCCGUGAGGUGUCGGCUUAAGUGCCAUAACGAGCGCAACCCUUGUUGUCAGUUACUAACAGGUUCCGCUGAGGACUCUGACAAGACUGCCAUCGUAAGAUGUGAGGAAGGUGGGGAUGACGUCAAAUCAGCACGGCCCUUACGUCCGGGGCUACACACGUGUUACAAUGGGGGGUACAGAGGGCCGCUACCACGCGAGUGGAUGCCAAUCCCCAAAACCUCUCUCAGUUCGGACUGGAGUCUGCAACCCGACUCCACGAAAGCUGGAUUCGCUAGUAAUCGCGCAUCAGCCACGGCGCGGUAAAUACGUUCCCGGGCC
Molecule: ribosomal RNA, 1358 nt
Filed under: uncultured bacterium
Lineage: Bacteria
Description: 16S ribosomal RNA
Rfam family: Bacterial small subunit ribosomal RNA
Source: RNAcentral